UACGUAGGGGGCGAGCGUUGUCCGGAAUUACUGGGCGUAAAGGGUGCGUAGGCGGCCAAUCAAGUCAGAUGUGAAAUACCAGGGCUCAACCUUGGGGGUGCAUUUGAAACUGGAUGGCUUGAGUGCAGGAGAGGAAAGUGGAAUUCCUAGUGUAGCGGUGAAAUGCGUAGAGAUUAGGAGGAACACCAGUGGCGAAGGCGACUUUCUGGACUGUAACUGACGCUGAGGCACGAAAGCGUGGGGAGCGAACAGG
Molecule: ribosomal RNA, 253 nt
Filed under: uncultured bacterium
Lineage: Bacteria
Description: partial 16S ribosomal RNA
Rfam family: Bacterial small subunit ribosomal RNA
Source: RNAcentral